Long non-coding RNA from Harpia harpyja (harpy eagle), 2968 nucleotides. RefSeq lists it as uncharacterized. Lineage: Eukaryota; Metazoa; Chordata; Aves; Accipitriformes; Accipitridae. The record is from RefSeq and is a predicted model, not a curated record. The transcript has 3 exons.
UGGUCUGGAGCAGGGUCAUUCCCAACUGUCAAGAGCAGUAGAGGAGCGAAAGUUGGCUGUGGUUUUUGCUCUGGGUCCAGCUCCCAGAGGCUGUGCAGAUCCUGUACCAUUAAACAAAGCUAAGCUCAUGAGCUACGUUGCUAUUGUCUUUGCUGCUGUUUUUGUUGUUAAUACCUUGGCUGCUGCUAUUAUGUCUGGUGUUUUUAGCGUGGGAGCCAAGAAAACAGCAUUAACUGAACAACCUCAAGACAGCAGAGAUUGCCAGGUUGAGAAACCCUCUGAUGCUGGGAAACAAAGCAAGCAUCUCUCCCCACUUCAAGGCUGUGACCUGUGUUGGCUUUAAACCAUGGAAACCCACACAGCCCUGUGGCUGAGUGACAACCAUGGCUGCCUGCUAGCAGAGUGCAUGAUAACGCCAGUAUUGUGCUGCCCUCUGGAUACCCUACUGCCUGGGACCUCCACAGCCCACUGAACCACAUUUAGGCCUGGUGCAAGCAGACACACAUCCUUCCGAGCAGAUUUUGUGCAAUUUUCAAGGAAUUCUUCAAGGACUCAUCAGCUCAAGCUAGAGUUACCGCCUUCCUGACACCACUGCAACUCGCUCCGUGACCAGUUACUUUCCCGCUCCUGGCCUCUCUUUCCUUCCCACCUCUCCUUUUCAGACUUCAAUACAGCGGGCCCAUCUUCACAUCCCCACAGAGCAUCGGGGUGCUGCUGAGUGCUCACACCCCCAGGCAGGCCUGGGGCAAAGGACGUUCGCCAUCGAUGGCGAAGCUGUGAGUCUAGGGCACUUCCAAGUGCCACGGACACUUGGGCGUCUUCCAGCUGUUGGCUGGCUGCGCCCUGUGCUGUAGCUGCUGAUGGCUCAGCUCUGCCCGUGUCCCCGGCCCAGCCGCCUGGCCUAGCGCUGAGCUGUGUGUUGAAAUAGAGGAGCAUUUCCCAUGCUACUUAUGCAUCAGGGACGCGUGGGGAAAGGAAGUACAGCAGUCACCAGAAGCACCAAUGAAAUUACUUUAUGUUGUUAUCUGAUAAGAAAAGUAAUGAAGCAAAAAUGCUUUGAGCAUGCCAUGAGCCAGCUCCUCUGUCGAGGGAUUACUGCUGAGGACCCUCAAGACCUUAUGUGCACCCAUGACUAUAACCCAUGAGUAAGAGCAUGAAGCAUGCACAGAAGGUAAAUAAAUGGUUAGAGGGAGCUGCUCCAAGUCAAAUUCCUCCCCCACUUUUUUCUUUUCCUUUCUCACCAUUGAGAGACAAACAAAAGCUCAAGUGAUGUCAUGGGGCCAUGCGUUUGGCAAGUUUCUUGCUGCUGUGUCCCAGUACCCGACAAGCCCAUUUACUGUCACUGUCUUUGCAUUCGCCAGAGGUGGCACAUGCAGAAAUUACAGCAGAGCCCAGCCAUACAAAGCAGGGUGCAGAGGAGAGACGAGGCAUUUCAGAUCUACUGCAACUGGUUCCACUCAGUGCUAACCUGAAGCUAAUGCAUGGGCCAAGUGCCAAAUUUCCAACUCCCUGCUGUAGGUCAUUGACUGCUGUAGGGGCCUUUAGUUUCCCUCCCAGAAAAAUCAGAAAAGAGAGUUAAUUUGUUUAAAAACAGACAAACAAACAAAAAAACCCUGCGUGUGUAUAUGUAUGUGUUUGCACAUGCACGUGAUGUACUUUGGAAAGACCUAAGGAGUGGAAGUCCUCAGAAGAUGAUGUGGGAAUUUAGGACCUCUCCUGAACUCGGGGCUUGGUUUCCUCAGCCUCAGCAGCAUGCUGAUGGACGAUUUUGUGCUGGGACUUUUCAGACAUCCCCCUUCUCUAGCUGCUAGGCAGAACUGGGGUGUUGGUGCCUUUAAACCUGCCAAAGCAUUUUGUAUCAAGGCAGCUCCUAGCUCUUUGCUUGGAUAUUUCUGGGAAAGCCUGCUGGGAGGUAAGGAGAGGUAUGUUCAUUAAGUGCCCUCACUUGGAGUUAAAGGGCCAAGCAUGCUUCUGCUUCUUCACCCUGCUACAAGAAGCUCACUGGGGCGAAUAAAAUGGUUAAAGAUGCAUGAUGAGAAAACAGCCUGGUAAUUGCAUUACCCCCAGGGUGGGGUGGCUGCCGGUCACAGGUAUCGAGGUACAGCCCUGGGUGAAUGCCGGUUCUUGUUCCCUCCCUCCGGCCACAGUCCCUGUCCGGAAAAUAACGUCUUUGCUCCUCAUUCAUUAACACCCUGGCUGUGGGAUUUGUGUGUUCGAGCCAAGCGGCACCAUCUGACCUGCCCUGUACGAUUGAAACAAGCUGUCCCAGAUAAUCACCUCCCUCGCCGGAGGUGCAAGUGCAUGGGGUGGGAUCCCCAGGGACCCCGUGUGCCUGCGCCCCGUGGCUGGACUGGUACCAGUGCCUAUUAAUAGAGGAAGGGAUUAGGAAGGAAGAAAAUCACAGCACUUUCCCGACAGUGCCUAGCUCUGCUCAGGCGGAAAGCCUGCCCCGUGCUGCUGGCUUACUGCAAUGCAUCACCCCAGUCAUUGUACACCUUUCUUUCUAUCUAACAUCUAUACUAGGACAUGGGGGUUUUCUUCUGGCUGCAGAGAGCUGAGAGUCAAGCCCACGCAGCUCAACCCUCUGUGGCACGUGAGCGGUGUGUUUGCCUCACGCUGAGGUGACCAGCCCAUGUGAAUUUGCUCCAAGGUGCAUCCUCUUGUCCCUUGCUUUCAGCAGUUUGGCUAAGCAGCUUGAAGCUUUCCUGGAGGUGAUGAGGGGCAAUAGCUGAAACCGUGGAUCUGUUUCCUCCACUGAGAAAUAUAUCCAGAAAUGUUCCACUAUUUCAGUCCACUGAAAAAGAGAGCUGGACUGGACCCUGUGCAGCUUUCGGCUUGCAGCACUCCGAGAGCCAAGCAGGCAUGUAGGCACUCUUGCUUUAAGAACUGAUUUCCUAAGUAAGUGAACUGUCAACUCCUGGUGGCUAGAAAAAUCUGCAAACAAUUUCUAGUCACUGAACAAAGCAAA